This 490-nucleotide ribosomal RNA is filed under the name uncultured bacterium. RNAcentral describes it as "bacterial SSU rRNA". It matches the Rfam family "Bacterial small subunit ribosomal RNA", at positions 28 to 514 of the family's 1533-position model. The record is from RNAcentral.
GAUGAACGCUAGCGGCAGGCUUAAUACAUGCAAGUCGAGGGGCAGCACGAAUAGCAAUAUUUGGUGGCGACCGGCGCACGGGUGCGUAACGCGUAUACAACCUACCUAUAACAGGGGGAUAGCCUUUCGAAAGAGAGAUUAAUACCCCGUAAUAAAUUGAGUGGCAUCACUUGAUUUUGAAAGCUACGGCGGUUAUAGAUGGGUAUGCGUCUGAUUAGCUAGUUGGUGAGGUAACGGCUCACCAAGGCGACGAUCAGUAGGGGAUCUGAGAGGACUAACCCCCACACUGGUACUGAGACACGGACCAGACUCCUACGGGAGGCAGCAGUAAGGAAUAUUGGUCAAUGGAGGCAACUCUGAACCAGCCAUGCCGCGUGCAGGAUGACGGCCCUAUGGGUUGUAAACUGCUUUUGUACCAGAGAAAACCUACUCACGUGUGAGUAGCUGAUAGUAUGGUAAGAAUAAGCAUCGGCUAACUUCGUGCCAGCAG